RNAcentral lists this ribosomal RNA (250 nucleotides) under uncultured bacterium. RNAcentral describes it as "partial 16S ribosomal RNA". It matches the Rfam family "Bacterial small subunit ribosomal RNA", at positions 28 to 271 of the family's 1533-position model. The record is from RNAcentral.
GAUGAACGCUAGCGGCAGGCCUAAUACAUGCAAGUCGAACGAGAUUAUUUCGGUCUUCGGACUGGGAUAUGACAGUGGCGCACGGGUGCGUAACGCGUAUGCAAUCUACCUUCAUCAGGGGGAUAGCCUCUCGAAAGAGAGAUUAAUACCGCAUAACAUCACGAGAUGGCAUCAUUUUGUGAUCAAACAUUUAUGGGAUGAAGAUGAGCAUGCGUGACAUUAGCUAGUUGGUGAGGUAACGGCUCACCAA